Molecule: long non-coding RNA, 6410 nt
Organism: Passer domesticus (house sparrow)
Lineage: Eukaryota; Metazoa; Chordata; Aves; Passeriformes; Passeridae
Exons: 3
Source: RefSeq, a predicted model, not a curated record
CAAGCAGCCACCCCUGGCACCAGUGCUCCCAGUCUGCACAGCCGGGAGCCGCAGGACAGAGCUGGCAGUACGGGGAGCGAGAGAAAAGUAACAAAACCUGCCUCUCCUCGGUCAUUAGAUUUGCCCAAAGGUAUUUCUUGGAAGUGAAGUUGCUUGCAAGGCAUUUUCCAGGUGUAGCCAUUCCCUCCCCCCUCACUUCCCAUUCCUUGGUAACUGGAGAGCUGUCAGCGUGUGAAACCAGGCGAGGGGUGAACGCUUCCUUAAAACACGGCAUGCGGGAUCGUGUUCAAAGCGCUAAUUGUGUAUAUAUUUAUGCAUACAGACAGAAAUAUAGUCUGCAAAUAUAGUAGAAAGAUAGUAAAAACGUCAGCCUGGUACAUUUCUGGCAAGAACUGCUGCUUGUUGUUUCAUAUGGCUAAAAAUUUUAGUUUGUGUGUUCAUGUCUGUAUGCCCUUUAUGAAGACCAGAGAAGGCGGGAACAGGAAAUGCAACGGCAUCUUGCAUUUGCCUGUUGAAUUGCAUGCUCGUGUUUGUUCCUGGAAGCCUCGGAACGCUGUACUUUGAACACACCACUUCGCCCUUACAGUGUGUCACCAGGAGAUAAGAGAAUAAAACUGAAGUUCCCGUCCCUGGCUGAACAAAGCUGGGAUUGCAGGACCUUUUCUCCGAUUAAAUAUCAGCCAGCUGUUUGAAGACACGCUGUCUAUGAAGAAUAUUAAUUAUGUGCCAGGAAUCAAGCCACAAUGUAUACCCAGUUUAUUUAGCAAAACCAGAACACGCUGUUCUGCUGCUGGGGGAAAAACGUGGGGGUGGGGAAAUGUAGCUCCUCCUCCAAAGCCCGUGUUUGCAAGUCAGCAUGCUCGUUCCUGUUAGCUACAGGAGCAAAGCCAGUAGCAGACAGAAAGCAGCCUUGAUGAGGGUCCCGUGUGGCGCAGGGCCACCCUGAAAACCAGGUUUGCUGUUCGGGACAGACCGAGCGUGCCGUGAGGCGGAGCAGCUCGCAGAGCCUUCCUGAGACAGAGCACACAACGUGCCUGAGCAGAUCUCGUGUUCCCCUGUAAUAUUAGCGUGCCUUUUGUAAUUGUAAAGGUUGCCUUUGCCAGUCUGCACGUGAAGCCAGCGGCACCAAGCUGGUGGUGAGAAGAAGCCGUGUUUGCGAAAGUUUCCAGCCUUUGUCUUGAGAAGAGAAAAUCUGGUCAUCUUGGGAUGGUGCUUACUUAACACAGCUGUGGUUCCAGCAACAUUAACUCCCACGAGGAGGAGCAGGACACAUUAACAGCCCGGACAAGAAAACCCAUGCAUGGAUCAGAAAACAAAUUAUUCUUGCAGGGCUCCCAAGCCCGUGUGUUCAUUAAAAUACAAUUGUUGCUAGCUCAACUGCAGAUACACUUCCUAGAACCUCUUCUCUCCCACCCUGGACAGACCCUGAAAAAUAUCAAACCACAAGGGGCCGGACUCCGCUAGCGGGACAACCACACAGAGGGUGGGGAGACUGCAGCGUUAUCAGCAUAUUAUCUCUUGUUAUCCAGAAAAGGCUCUUCCCUGAUUCUUCAAACAGGAUUUUCCUGUUACUGUGUGUGGGCUGGGAGGUUUAACUACAUCCUGACUCUUCCUUUGCUAGGCCUGCAAUUGUCUCCUAGAAAUCGUUAUGGAGACCUUUAUGCAAGGAGGCAUAAACCUGCUGGGGAGAGCGCUCAGUGCUCGACAAACCCAGUCCUAGCUGUCAUCAUCACAAUACAGCCAAGCGAGCAACCAGCCCCCUCAACCCUUUACACUAAGGAACAGUUUUUGACUUAAGCCUAUUUUGUAUCUUGUAAGAAGAUUAAAAGAAUUAAAGAGAAACCUGUUCAGUCCAUUUACUAUUAAGCAUAUGACACAUAGCUUCAUCUUGUACAGGGUCAGAAUAAACAGAAGGACAUAAUAAUUAUACAUAUUUUAUGCUGCUCUUGAGGACUUCUAAGCUGGAAUAUCCUGCCUGCAUCCAUUUCCAGAGGAUACCAGAGCUUUGUAGUUGCAUACAAAUGCCAGCAGCAACAGUUCUUGGAAAAACCAUCCUGUGUGAGCAGAGUAAUCACUUCAGUAUAUUGAAAAGGAAAGCUCCCUUGGCUGUGCUGCAAAGGUUUUGAGGAGGUGGAAGGUGGUUGGCAGUGGUGGGAUGGAGCUAAAGUCCCAGCAUCCCUGCAGACCCUGCCGAAGGGGUCCCACACAAGGUCCACAUGAAUCAGCAUUUCUUUCAUCAAAGGUGUGUGACCCUGCCCAUCAAUCACAUCAGUGCAAUGGUGGCACACUGGUGUGGGGGACAUGGAGAGGACAGAAAUUAUGGCCUUGAAGGAGGAGCCCUGCAGCAGAUCUGUGCCUGCCUGCCCGUUCCCCAGGACUGCAAGACAAAGUGAUAUCAGCACGAUGACUUCUUGCCCUACUGGCCAUGUGUAAAGCCCUUGUCUGUCCCUCAGCAAAUGCUAAAAUAAGUGCAGCCAUUUUGAGAACUCUGUACAGUAAAACAAUUCACUAGCUGACCUAGAUGGAAUAAUUACAGAAGUACUUACAAUGUAUCUCUUCACAACCAUCAUAAAAGUCCUGAGCUAAUUCUCAACUGCUUUUACAAUCUGUUUGCCUGAGUUGCUAGCAGGACAAAAGCUCCAGCUCCAGUUUAUUUGCAUGCUAUAGGAACAUACAACUGCCUAAUAUCUGUAUUUAUUUACAGCACUGUGUUUGUUGAGAAUGUACGUACAGUAAAUAUUGUCGGUCAUAAACAAUCCAUAAUGAACUAACUGUUAUCUUUGUACUGGGAGCAGCUGGUAUAUUGGGAUAUACCAUGAGAAUCAGCAUUUGGAGAUGUGCCAGAUGAGAUAGAGUUGGGAUGGGUGUCUGGCCUUGUCACAGCCAGUUAUUGCUUUGAGCUGGGUUUAUAUGUGACAAUACCAUGCUUGGGUAUCUUAGCAUAUUUUUAAACAAAUGUAGACAAAGGUAAAAGUUAUGUGUUUCUGUCUGGAGACACAGUCUAGUCCCAUAAUAAAACCAUCCCACAAUACCCCAUACAUGUAUUUAUCCCAUAUUUCAUAUGAUUUAGGCUGCAAUUUCAGUUAAGUCAAUAAAUGUGCAGAUUUGAAUUAUCCAGUCACUAAGUAAAUACAGCAAAUAAGCAGAAUAUAUACAUACUGAUGAGCUAGUGAUUUACAGCAGAACUAAUUAGCAAGCAGACACAUUACUAGGUUGCUCAAAUAAAAUCUUAGAUUUUCUCUAUCUCAAUUUUCUUCCUGAUAGCAGAAAUUCUGGCUUCUCCUUUUGCCCUUUUCCCCUUGCUGCUUCCAUGAGGAAUAAGGAAGCAUAAAGGUACCUAUUUAUGUACCUGCCUGCAGGUACAUACCUACACACACACUAUGUGAAACACUGCAAAGUGUACAGACCAGCUCAUAAAUAGGUAGAGGAGCUGCAAAUAUGCUUUGUCCAAGCUCUGCAUCUGUUAUAAAGAGCCCCAUGGUGCAAAGUGUGCAAAGGCAUAAGCAUUUAAAAGGGCAAAACUCAGACUCAUUGAUGCAGGCCAACAGGGUUAGCUCUGCUGAGGUGCUUUAUGAGUUCUUCUCUUUUGCCUUGCCCUUUUAUUGCUCUUUACCUCUGUACUCACCUUUUGUACGUGCAAAUGCUCAGAAGAACAACUUGAUGCUUCCAGGCCAAAGUUUAGCAAUGAGUUUACAUUCAAAUCUUUAUGUUUGGCAAUUGGCUCUUGUCAUGUACACAUGCAAAUCUACUAAGUGCAAAUCCACUAAGCACAGGGCAGAGGAACAGCAUCUCUGGCAACUAAGGAAUUCACAUUAUAAUCCUGCAAGACACCUUAAAGCAGGCACCUCCUCAUUUUGGGGGUAAUAAACAUUUAUAAUUAUAUUGGCACUCUGGUGGAGUCAGCAGAACUUUGAGGCGGAUCUACCUCCAGUUUUCCCUUGAAACACACAUCCCAAAACACAAAGCUUUUAACUUCAGAAAUCAUAUUCUGUUAAACAUAAAGGAAUACUUUAAAAAAAACCCCAACAACAACAACAGAGAACUCUUCAAGUUAGGCAGAACAGAAAGUUUCUAAAUUAACUCCUUGUUAGUUUAGGGUUUUUCUUCCAAACACUAUUCUCUGUCCAUCCUAUCCUUUAAGUGGUUCAUCCAACUGAUCAUGCUUAACAGCACCGAAGCAAAGCAUCUUGCCCCCUUUCCAGGGUUCCAACCACAGCUGCAGCAUCCAAGACAGAGGCAGCAUCUUCCCUGGUGCCAAAACAACAGCCUGUGUGUUUUGUUACACACCGUGUUCCAGGGAACACAACAGACAGUGAACACGAAGAGAGCAGGUACCCCCCCUGCAAGCUACAGGAGGAGGCCCAAGGCUGUGGCUGCUUUCCCUGUGGCAGUGGGGUUAGAUGCCUGUAACUGCCUGCUUUGUCCUGUUCCAAGCCAGCUGUGUGCCCUGGUAGGUGCUCAUUAGAGCCAAAGACAUCUGGCAAUUUUGUGUUGAGUUAUGUGGGUAAAUGAAGGCAUGUUAGUGCAUGCACAGUGCACACACAUAUAAAUUUUAUAAAGUUUAUACAGUAUAAAAACAACUACAUUGUCAGUAUUGCAAGACAGCAAUCUCUUGUGGUCACUUUAUUGGGGAUGUAGAACCUGUGUAAUGGAAGGCAUGCAGGUAGUCACUGUGGAGAUGGGUGCAAGAGGCUGGUGCUUUCACCCCAGAGCUCUAUGCCCUCACAGACCGUGACCCAGCUCGUGAGCUGAUGAAGCAAACGCAUCUCAUGUCCCAUGUACGCAAGAAUCUGACAAAGCACAUUUACCUAGUUCACUGAAAAUUUCAGCAGACUGGUGACAAACAAAACAAUGAUCUAUAUUUUAGAUGAUUUAGGCUGUGUUUUCAGUGACGUCAAUAAAUUAGCGGAUCCAAAUUGUCCAGUCACCAUAACCAGGAUAACCAGGUCACAUAAUGAAAAAAGUAUGGUUUUUUAAGCUCAUCUUGGAACAUAAUGAAGGUCUAGUUUUCUUUUAACCAGGAAAACCCAGCCACUAUUUAGCUAAUGUUUUAUUGACACAGUUAACAUGUCACUGGAGGAUCCUGUCAUUACUGGGCAUAGGUGUCUGUGGAAUAUUAAGGGUAUAUUUUGGUCUUUGGCCAGUUAAAUGAUCCAAGCAGACAAGAACUGUACCUGAGCUCAGUUCAAGAAGUGUAGUUGUACCAAUGCUUGCAACACAUCCUUAAAUCUCCCUGCUUUUACAUGUUAGCAGUUUCACAUUGUAUUUGCCAUCUCUAUGCAGUUACAGAGUAUUUUGAAGAUUUAAUAUGCAGAUGGAUGAUGGUUGAAUCAUCUCCAACAGCAGUUUUCACACAGCUUUUUCACUGAGAAGAACAUACCAGUGGCAGUGUUUUCCUUUUUCAGCAACUGUAAGAGACACAAUUCACCCUUCUCCUCUCUGGCCAUGGCUUAAUGGCUUAAAAAAUCCAACAUUAGGGCCCUUGGCAUAGGACCAGAUAUACCAUAACCUACUACCCAAGGUGCAGAUCCAGCUUUCACUCACACUGUCGGUUAAAAUUGCUCUAAAAUUUUGCUGAUUUCUGACUGACACAAUGUGAUUAAAACUACUGCUCUCUCUGUGCCAUUGUCACUUCACGUCAGAUUAGAUAUCAGCUAUCAACUGUUAAAAACUCAUAUGAACUCCAUACCAGACAUACUUAAUUCAAUGACAAAGUGAUCACGUGAACUGGAACCAAACCUGUAUGCUUGGAGAUCCAUCACUGCACACAUCCAGUAAAAUGACAGAGCCUCACACAUGCACUGCACACACUAAAAUUAAGACAUGCUUUCACUGAGAAAAAGUUAAAACAUGAAUGGUUCAAGCAGCUGUUUAAUUUCUUAGGAUCUCUCUCCUUAAAGUUAAGCUGGGAUUUUACCAAAUUUGGUGUUCCUGCAUAAGGGUGGAAGGCAGUGUGUAAGGGUCAUGGUUGAAAAAGCAGUCCUGGCUCCUGGCUCAAACUGCAAAUGCAGGACCUCCAUCACUAUCAAUUUUGUUUUACAGAAAUAAUUAAAAUUUUAAAAAGCACAGUAUGUCCUUACAUUCCUUCUUUUCUUGUCAAUCACUGUCAUGCUCUUAGCAUUUUUAAAGCACUCCAGAUUCUUACUGUAGAGGAACAGAACAAGUAAUAAGAGCUUACAGUUCAACUUGUUAGCUUUUGGCCUAAAAAACUCAAGGCUGUUUGGCAUUUUGUAAGAGGACAUUCCACUCAUAGCUAAACAGUUUUCUUGUACAAGUUGUCAAGGGAAUUUUAAAAAGCUUCAUAUGUUCUUCAUGUGUGAGUAAAUAUUGAGGCUUGGGAAGACAUGGUGUGCUGUUGGUUUUGGUUGUAGUGUUUCAGGAAAGGGUGAGGAGAAGAAUGGAGAGAGAAG